AUUGAACGCUGGCGGCAGGCCUAACACAUGCAAGUCGAACGGUAGCACAGAGGAGCUUGCUCCUCGGGUGACGAGUGGCGGACGGGUGAGUAAUGUCUGGGAAACUGCCCGAUGGAGGGGGAUAACUACUGGAAACGGUAGCUAAUACCGCAUAACGUCGCAAGACCAAAGAGGGGGACCUUCGGGCCUCUUGCCAUCGGAUGUGCCCAGAUGGGAUUAGCUGGUAGGUGGGGUAACGGCUCACCUAGGCGACGAUCCCUAGCUGGUCUGAGAGGAUGACCAGCCACACUGGAACUGAGACACGGUCCAGACUCCUACGGGAGGCAGCAGUGGGGAAUAUUGCACAAUGGGCGCAAGCCUGAUGCAGCCAUGCCGCGUGUAUGAAGAAGGCCUUCGGGUUGUAAAGUACUUUCAGCGAGGAGGAAGGUGUUGUGGUUAAUAACCGCAGCAAUUGACGUUACUCGCAGAAGAAGCACCGGCUAACUCCGUGCCAGCCGCCGCCGUAACAC
Molecule: ribosomal RNA, 509 nt
Filed under: uncultured bacterium
Lineage: Bacteria
Description: bacterial SSU rRNA
Rfam family: Bacterial small subunit ribosomal RNA
Source: RNAcentral